GCCCUCGUAGUUCAACGGAUAGAACAAUGCUCUCCUAAAGCGUAGAUAUGAGUUCGAUUCUCAUCGGGGGUA
RNAcentral lists this transfer RNA (72 nucleotides) under Prevotellamassilia sp. Its description in RNAcentral is "tRNA-Arg". It matches the Rfam family "tRNA". From Rfam's summary of the family: Transfer RNA (tRNA) molecules are approximately 80 nucleotides in length. Their secondary structure includes four short double-helical elements and three loops (D, anti-codon, and T loops). RNAcentral also lists the same sequence under 1 other name. The record is from RNAcentral. Lineage: Bacteria; Pseudomonadati; Bacteroidota; Bacteroidia; Bacteroidales; Prevotellaceae.